This 1114-nucleotide long non-coding RNA is filed under the name Sinocyclocheilus grahami. RNAcentral's name for it is "lncRNA (ENSSGRG00000009864.1)". Lineage: Eukaryota; Metazoa; Chordata; Actinopteri; Cypriniformes; Cyprinidae. The record is from RNAcentral.
UGCAGCUCCAUGUGCCCUCACCUCCAUCACUGCACACACGGACUGUUACAGCAGCCAAAUCACAGUUAGCUGGCAGCUGAAUGAGGUAUCUUCCUUCUAUGUGGCCACCGCUGAAGGUCAUGACCAAAGUGUUUUGAUAUGCAACAGCACUGGCACGUCCUGUGACCUCUCCGGAGCAAAGUGUGGAAUGCAGUACACCAUUAUAAUUUCCGCGUCCUCCGACAAAUGCAGCAGCUUGCGGAGUCCCCCUCUUAAGAUGCACACAGCACCUUGUGCUCCUCAGAAUAUAACAGUGAACCCAGUGUGUGACUCAAACGGCAUGACGGCAGCAUGGUCACCUUCUCUGGUUGCCGAGUCAUACUCACUCACAGCCAGCAGUAGAGACGGAGAUGUCCGCACCUGCAGAAGCACCGCAAACAACUGCACUCUGCUUCACCUGCACUGCGGACAGAUUUAUGAUGUUAGCGUAACCGCUUCGGCUGGAAACUGCACCAGCCUGGACAGUCAGCAGGUCACCUUCUAUACUGUGCCCUGUGAGCCACAGAACAUGACUGUGGAAGUGCAGUGUGACACCGGGACUGCCACACUCUCUUGGGUGGAGGGCCAGGGUUCGCUGCAGUACUUCACAACAGCUCAAACCAUGGAUGGGCACACGCUUCACUGCGACACCACGAGCACGUCCUGUAGCAUUGACGGACUGACUUGUGGGACGCUGUACAAUUUCAGUGCGCUGGCUUCAGAUGGAACCUGCAACAGCUCCCUCACUGUGCCAAUCCAGAGAGGAGCAGUCCCAUGUCCUCCUUCCACCGUGAGGGUGAGGACCCAUCUGAUGGUUGAUGCCACUCUAAUCAGGGUCUACUGGAAUUUUGUGCAAUGUGCUGACGUCACAUACCUGGUACAGGUGACCGGCGAUAUCCAGGACAACCCAGAGUCCCUUAUGGACGUGUCAUCCUACUGGACAGACAUCAACUACUUUGAGUUUCCUGUUCCCUGUAGCACCUCUUACAGUGUCACUGUGUUUGCACAAAACUCAGCAGGGAUCAGCAGACCAUCUCAGGCUGUUACUGGGGUCACAGGUAACAGAUAACAAGUCAAACUUGCCAUGCUGGAAAAA